This 253-nucleotide ribosomal RNA is filed under the name uncultured bacterium. Its description in RNAcentral is "partial 16S ribosomal RNA". It matches the Rfam family "Archaeal small subunit ribosomal RNA", at positions 474 to 727 of the family's 1478-position model. The record is from RNAcentral.
UACCUGCAGCCCAAGUGGUGCUCGUUAUUAUUGGGUCUAAAACGUCCGUAGUCGGCUGAGUAGAUGCCCGGGUAAAUCGCAGCGCUUAACGUUGCGAAUUCCGGGUAGACCGCUCGGCUAGGGAGUGGGAGAGGUGCGAGGUACUCUGAGGGUAGGGGUAAAAUCCUGUAAUCCUUGGGGGACCACCAGUGGCGAAGGCGUCGCACUAGAACACGUCCGACGAUCAGGGACGAAGCCCUGGGGCGCAAACGGG